CUACUCGACAUAGCUGCCUGUUACGUGGUGAUCUGUGACUUGAAAUGGAGUUACAAGGAUUAGGAUGUCUCCAAGACUUGUUAGUCCAUCCGAGGAUACAUAGUGUAUUGACAAGAGGAAGUCUAAUAGUUUUGCUAUGAAAUAUUAAAAUUUUACUUCCUUCUCGAAUAGUCAGGAUCGCCAUGCAAAUGAGGGUCGUUUUCAAUGCUAGGGAGAAUAUACGUUUUAGUGAUAUACUAUUAAGUUGAGGAGUGUUGGAAGUCUUUGCCCUAUUAUGAUGUACGCCGAGAGGGUUUCAUCCUUCUAAUAAGGAGGAGCUAUCAUCCUUUUGAUCAAGGGUAUAGAAGAAAACCUUCGUCGUAGAGAACUCGGCCUACAGGACGUCGUGGAUACAUUAGUUACGGGGUAUUUGAGGAAUAAGGGUGACCAUUAACGGUCUAGACGCAACCCCUUCGUCUUUUAGAAAAUUCAGCCUACAGGCCUUCGUGGAAACAUCAGUUACGGAGUAACUGAGGAAGAAUAGAUGACCAUUAAAGGAAGUCAGCAUACCACCAAAUGAUAGCGUCGAUGUUGGUGUACAAGUGGGCACUCCUUCACGUGGCAAAUUGAUUAAAGUGUGAAAACACCCAAUGACCGUGUGAGCAGUGACUAGAUUUUUCAGUAUUGUCAGGAAAUAUUUAUCUUACUUGGCAGCAUGUAAAGUAUGUUGUAUUUGUUUAUUGCAGUUUUUAUUUAAAACGUAGCCUCAGGUAGAAAGACAUGUUACAUGUCCUAUAUAAAACUUGGUCACAAAGACAUGUUAUAUGUCCUAUAUAAAACUUUGUCACAAAAGACAUGCUUAUGAAAUUUA
Macrobrachium nipponense is the source of this 850-nucleotide long non-coding RNA. RefSeq lists it as uncharacterized. Lineage: Eukaryota; Metazoa; Arthropoda; Malacostraca; Decapoda; Palaemonidae. The transcript is spliced from 2 exons. The record is from RefSeq and is a predicted model, not a curated record.